Molecule: non-coding RNA, 124 nt
Organism: Hordeum vulgare subsp. vulgare (domesticated barley)
Lineage: Eukaryota; Viridiplantae; Streptophyta; Magnoliopsida; Poales; Poaceae
Source: Rfam
GAUAUACUCCUUCCGUCCGGAAAUACUUGUCCUAGAGAUGAAUGUAUCUAGACUUAUUUUAGUUAUAGAUACAUCCAUUAUAUCAAUUUUUUGGACAAGUAUUUCCGGACGGAGGGAGUAUAUC